GCAAGUCGAACGGUAAAAGAAGCGAUUGCUAUGGAUGAAGAGUGGCGGACGGGUGAGUAACAUAUCGGAACGUAUCCAAUAAUGGGGGAUAACUAGCCGAAAGGUUGGCUAAUACCGCAUACGCCCUUAGGGGGAAAGCUGGGGAUCUUCGGACCUGGCGUUAAUGGAGCGGCCGAUACCUGAUUAGCUAGUUGGUGGGGUAAUGGCCUACCAAGGCAACGAUCAGUAGCUGGUCUGAGAGGACGACC
RNAcentral lists this ribosomal RNA (248 nucleotides) under uncultured bacterium. Its description in RNAcentral is "partial 16S ribosomal RNA". It matches the Rfam family "Bacterial small subunit ribosomal RNA", at positions 57 to 305 of the family's 1533-position model. The record is from RNAcentral.